Molecule: ribosomal RNA, 693 nt
Filed under: uncultured Actinomycetes bacterium
Lineage: Bacteria; Bacillati; Actinomycetota; Actinomycetes
Description: bacterial SSU rRNA
Rfam family: Bacterial small subunit ribosomal RNA
Source: RNAcentral
AGUCGAACGAGGUCCAACUGGUGGCAACACCAGUGAAGACCUAGUGGCGAACGGGUGCGGAACACGUGAGCAACCUGCCCCAAAGACUGGGAUAACAGCGGGAAACCGCUGCUAAUACCGGAUACCCCCACGAGCUCGCAUGGGCUUGUGCGGAAAGGAUUCCGCUUUGGGAGGGGCUCGCGGCCUAUCAGCUCGUUGGUGAGGUAAUGGCUCACCAAGGCUACGACGGGUAGCUGGUCUGAGAGGACGAUCAGCCACACUGGGACUGAGACACGGCCCAGACUCCUACGGGAGGCAGCAGUGGGGAAUCUUGCGCAAUGGGCGAAAGCCUGACGCAGCAACGCCGCGUGGGGGAUGAAGGCCUUCGGGUUGUAAACCCCUUUCAGUGGGAACGAAACUGACGGUACCCACAGAAGAAGCCCCGGCCAACUACGUGCCAGCAGCCGCGGUGAUACGUAGGGGGCGAGCGUUGUCCGGAUUUAUUGGGCGUAAAGAGCUCGUAGGCGGCUUGGUAAGUCGGGUGUGAAACCCCCAGGCUCAACCUGGGGACGCCACUCGAUACUGCCAUAGCUAGAGUCCGGUAGGGGACCACGGAAUUCCUGGUGUAGCGGUGAAAUGCGCAGAUAUCAGGAGGAACACCAGUGGCGAAGGCGGUGGUCUGGGCCGGCACUGACGCUGAGGAGCGAAAGCGUG